GAGUUUGAUCGUGGCUCAGAUUGAACGCUGGCGGCAUGCCUUACACAUGCAAGUCGAACGGUAACAGGUCUUCGGAUGCUGACGAGUGGCGAACGGGUGAGUAAUACAUCGGAACGUGCCCAGACGUGGGGGAUAACGAGGCGAAAGCUUUGCUAAUACCGCAUACGAUCUAAGGAUGAAAGCAGGGGACCACAAGGCCUUGCGCGUUUGGAGCGGCCGAUGGCAGAUUAGGUAGUUGGUGGGAUAAAAGCUUACCAAGCCGACGAUCUGUAGCUGGUCUGAGAGGACGACCAGCCACACUGGGACUGAGACACGGCCCAGACUCCUACGGGAGGCAGCAGUGGGGAAUUUUGGACAAUGGGCGAAAGCCUGAUCCAGCAAUGCCGCGUGCAGGAUGAAGGCC
RNAcentral lists this ribosomal RNA (403 nucleotides) under uncultured microorganism. RNAcentral describes it as "bacterial SSU rRNA". It matches the Rfam family "Bacterial small subunit ribosomal RNA", at positions 9 to 416 of the family's 1533-position model. The record is from RNAcentral.